This 21-nucleotide non-coding RNA is filed under the name Caenorhabditis elegans. The record is from RNAcentral. Lineage: Eukaryota; Metazoa; Nematoda; Chromadorea; Rhabditida; Rhabditidae.
UCGUUCCUGUUCAAAAUCCAA